CACACACUGCCUCUAGCUCUUGAAUUCCUCCAAUCACAGCAAGUCUGGGCUGCAGCCCUCCUGCCUCUUUAAGGUGACUUGGCAUUUCUCUGUGUGGAUCCAUUUUUGCAUGCUUUAUGGUUUAACUGGCAGAGGGAUGUCUUAUUUCCUGAUCUCCGAGCUGUCUCAGGCAGUCUCUGCCAACACCCCAUGGCACACCAUGGGUGCCCUCAGACCUUGUCCACAGCAAUCAGCACCUACGCCCUCUCCCACUGCCUGGCUGCUUUCAGAUGUCACCCUUAGGUUUUACCCCAUCCCAUCACCUGCAAGGCUCUGGAAUUCUUUGAAAUAUUUUAAAACAUUUUUAUUACAAUGAGAAUGCAUGUUUAUUACAGAAGAAAAAUUGAAAAUGUGGGUGACAGAAAAAACUCAGAUGCCUCAGUACAGGCUGAAUUGCACCUUCCCACCUCCCCUCUAAUUCAUAUGUUGAAGUCCUAACUCCCAGUGCCUCAGAAUGUGACUAUAUCUGGAGAUGGGGGUCAGUAAAGAGGUAACUAAACUCAAAUGAGGUCAUCAGGGCGGGCCCUAAUCCAGUGUGACUGGUGUCCUUAUAAGAAGAGACUAGGACAUAGAUUUAGACAGAGCGAAGAUUAUGCGAAGAAAGAAGGAAAAGGCGGCUGUCUCCAAGACAAAGAGAGAGGCCUCACGGGACGCCAACCCUGCUGACACCUUGAGCUUGGACUUCCAGCCUCCAGAACUGUGAGACAGUAAAUUUCUGUUGUUUAAGCCCCCUAGUCUGUGGUACUUUGUCAUGGCAGACCUAGCAUGCUAAUAUACCCCUCAAACUAGCCACAGCCCAAAGGGGAAUUUGUUUGAUGGAUCAUACACUGCAGGAACAACUGAGGUGCAGCUGGGCCACGUGAAACAACUGGAAUCAGGGAUUUGAAAGCCACUAGGAGCUCACCUCUAUCUUCCAUCUCUGCUUCUCUGACUUUGUCCUCCCAGAACCAGCUUCCUGUACAUGGCAGGGAAUGGCUCCCCCAUUUGCAACUUAAAGCUUCAUCACCUAGGAGGGACUGGCCUUUUGUCCCACUGCUAGUUUACAAAAUCCUAAAGAAGGAUUUUGAUUGGCUGGCCUACGUCAUUGCCCAGCCCAAGACCAAUAAUAGACACAGCAGCUAAUUUGUUCAGCAACUACUCUGUGCAAAGCACUCCAUUCAUUCUACUAAAUAAUUUGCUAAACAUGUGGGGUUAUUAUCAUUAUGAUUACACCUUUACAGAUGAGGAAGCUGAGUCAUGAAGUAGUCAGGGAACUUGUCCCAGGGCACACAGGGUGUGAGCAAUGUCCCUGAGUCCAAUGUGGGGUGGCCAAUGAGUGCAGCUAGCAGGUCCUGUUUUUUGUUUUUUGUUUUGUUUGUUUGUUGUUGUUUUUUGUUUAUUUAUUUAUUUAUUUAUUUUGAGACAGGGUCUCCUUCUGUCUCAUCCAGGCUGGAGAGCAGUGGUGCAAUCAUGGUUCAACCUCCCAGGCUCAAGUGAUCCUCCCACCUCAGUGUCCUGAGUAGCUGGGACUAUAGGCGCAUGCCACCACACCUGCUAAUUUUUUGUAUUUUUAGUAGAGAUGGAGUUCACCACAUUGCCCAGACUGGUCUUGAACUUCUGGGCUCAAGGGAUCCUCCCACCUUGGCCUGCCCAGCCUAGCAAGUCCUUUCUAAACCAAUGAGUCAGUGCCAGUCUCCCAUAGUCCCUGUAAAUCUUGCCACACCCUUCAAGUAUCAUCCACUAUGCAGCCACCUUGCUGGACAAAGGGUGCCCUCUGAGAUCCUGAGAAAAGGCCACAAUGACUUCUGGCUGGCAACUCCAUCAUGCCUUUUAUUCAAAGGCUGCAGUGGCUAAUACAAAGAGAGGCCAGCAGGGUAGUAAACAAUCCCUAAAUUGAGAGCCUGGGAACUCAGAGAGCCUGACCAGCAUCUUGCCCUAAGCAGUCCUGCCCUGUGCUCCAACCUAAUGGGAUCUCUGAAUUCUCCUUGGGCUUUCCAGGCAGCAGAGGAACUUGGCAGGCAGUCUGUAGGUUUGAGGCAAGCCUGUCUUCUGUACAAAUACCAAAUACCAGAACCUGCUAAUCCCUAAUGGAGUGAAGACAGCUACGUGGGUGUGAUAAUGCCAGGAAAACCUGGGCAACUCCUGCAACUCUGAGGUCAGCUAGGCCUCUCUGGCCCUACCAGAUCCAGCUAAGAGGACUGCAGACCCAUAAGGCCACAGUGAAGUUCAAGUUCCAUACCCUCCAAAGAUUUCUGCAAAUUCCCAGCCCUUAGCCUCCUCCUAGUCCCCUCUGCCCUGGGAAUCCAGAGUGGUGUCCCCUUUACCCACUCAGCUGCCCAGAUGUAAACUAUCAACCCUUUCACUGAUUUGCACAGAAAAAUCCACUCUACCCAGGCACAGCUCUUCCCUGACAUAGCAUUCUCAAUUUACCUCCCACAGAAAGGGCAGAAGGCAAAGGGGUGUUUUGCAAAAAAGGCCUCUGCCAUUUAUUUCAGUUGGGAACAUUUAAUCCAUUCCAGUACUCCAAAAGACAGUCCAAUUUUUCACAUAAAUAAAAUCCUUAUAAGAAAAAUCUCUAGUUAUAUAUGAGGUGAAAAGUACAGAUUUCUUAUUUUAAACACCAGUCAGUUAUUUCAGUAACCGAAGCAGCACCAAAAACAUUCUGAAUCAAAGUUUCUCAUGCACUGUGAGUUUCUCCAGCAAAGUCCAGCAUUCAGGCACCUUCUCUUUAAAGGCAAAACACAGCAAAGGAACAAAAACAAAAAAACAACCACCACCAAAGAUGCUAUUAUGGGGCCUCUCCUGAGUGUAGAAGUGAAAGACGAAGUUCCGUGAAUCACAAUGGCCAACUUUUGUAACUUGCCUGUCAGGGUUUGCUGAGAAAAACCAAGAGGGCAAGAUAUAGGAAUGGGAAGAACAGCUUCCCCACAAUGGCUGGCACUUACCUGGGCCAGGCAUGGUGCUCAGCCUUGUUUUAAAAUUUAAUUCUAUUUCUAUCAAACUUAAUACAUACACGUUUUAAAAAGUCAAAUACUACUAUAAGGCUAGUAAAAAAAUGUAGUGUUCCCCUCCCCAUACCUUCCCCACCCCAAGUCCCAAUUCAGCAAAUACUUUUCAUAUUUACCUCCACUUUUCUGAGUAAAAGACAUACUAUUGAAUCCUGACUUUUCCAUUUUAGACAUAAUCUCCUGCCUUCCUGCUAUGGUUGCUGAGGGUUUUAGAAAGGAUACCUUUACCUCAUCUACUUUCCCUUCUACAUCCUCCCCAUGUAAUCAUGUCACAGGUUUUGUUAAAUCAUUAUUCAAUGAACAUGUUAUUCUCAUUAAGUAAACAUUGUUCAAGCUGCUCCAG
Molecule: long non-coding RNA, 3369 nt
Filed under: Homo sapiens (human)
Lineage: Eukaryota; Metazoa; Chordata; Mammalia; Primates; Hominidae
Description: HSALNT0053691
Source: RNAcentral